RNAcentral lists this ribosomal RNA (253 nucleotides) under uncultured bacterium. Its description in RNAcentral is "partial 16S ribosomal RNA". It matches the Rfam family "Bacterial small subunit ribosomal RNA", at positions 524 to 776 of the family's 1533-position model. The record is from RNAcentral.
UACGUAGGGUGCGAGCGUUAAUCGGAAUUACUGGGCGUAAAGGGUGCGUAGGUGGUUAUAUAAGUUAUCUGUGAAAGCCCUGGGCUCAACCUGGGAAGGUCAGAUAAGACUGUAUGACUCGAGUAUGGGAGAGGGUAGUGGAAUUUCCGGUGUAGCGGUGAAAUGCGUAGAGAUCGGAAGGAACACCAGUGGCGAAGGCGGCGACCUGGCUUAAUACUGACACUGAGGCACGAAAGCGUGGGGAGCAAACAGG